Molecule: ribosomal RNA, 284 nt
Filed under: unidentified marine bacterioplankton
Lineage: Bacteria
Also listed under: 1 other name
Description: partial 16S ribosomal RNA
Rfam family: Bacterial small subunit ribosomal RNA
Source: RNAcentral
UCGAACGAGAAAGUUUCCUUCGGGAAACCAGUAAAGUGGCGCAAGGGUGAGUAACACGUGAAUAAUCUGCCUACGAAUUCGGGAUAACUCGACGAAAGUUGCGCUAAUACCGAAUAAGACCACGUCUCUUAUGUGAUGUGGCCAAAGGAGUCUCAAACUCCGUUUGUAGAUGAGUUCGCGGACCAUUAGCUAGUUGGAGGGAUAACAGCCCCCCAAGGCUACGAUGGUUAGCCGGCCUGAGAGGGUGAUCGGCCACACUGGAACUGAGACACGGUCCAGACUCC